RNAcentral lists this ribosomal RNA (835 nucleotides) under uncultured bacterium. RNAcentral's name for it is "bacterial SSU rRNA". It matches the Rfam family "Bacterial small subunit ribosomal RNA", at positions 9 to 838 of the family's 1533-position model. The record is from RNAcentral.
GAGUUUGAUCAUGGCUCAGGAUGAACGCUAGCGGCAGGCUUAACACAUGCAAGUCGAGGGGUAACAGGGAGUGCUUGCACUCUGCUGACGACCGGCGCACGGGUGCGUAACGCGUAUGCAACCUACCUUCUACAGGGGGAUAGUCCAGAGAAAUUUGGCAUAAUACCCCAUACGAUCAUUUAUUGGCAUCGAUAGAUGAGGAAAACUCCGGUGGUAGAAGAUGGGCAUGCGUCCUAUUAGUUAGUUGGUAAGGUAACGGCUUACCAAGACAUCGAUAGGUAGGGGUCCUGAGAGGGAGAUCCCCCACACUGGUACUGAGACACGGACCAGACUCCUACGGGAGGCAGCAGUGAGGAAUAUUGGACAAUGGAGGCAACUCUGAUCCAGCCAUGCCGCGUGCAGGAAGACGGCCCUACGGGUUGUAAACUGCUUUUAUACAGGAAGAAACGCCGCUACGUGUAGCGGUUUGACGGUACUGUACGAAUAAGGAUCGGCUAACUCCGUGCCAGCAGCCGCGGUAAUACGGAGGAUCCAAGCGUUAUCCGGAAUCAUUGGGUUUAAAGGGUCCGUAGGCGGUUUUUUAAGUCAGAGGUGAAAUCCUGCAGCUCAACUGUAGCAUUGCCUUUGAUACUGAAAGACUUGAGUUAUUGUGAAGUAGUUAGAAUGUGUAGUGUAGCGGUGAAAUGCAUAGAUAUUACACAGAAUACCGAUUGCGAAGGCAGAUUACUAACAAUAUACUGACGCUGAGGGACGAAAGCGUGGGUAGCGAACAGGAUUAGAUACCCUGGUAGUCCACGCCGUAACCGAUGGAUACUAGCUGUUCGACCAACAUUGG